GACGAACGCUGGCGGCGUGCUUAACACAUGCAAGUCGAACGGAAAGGCCCUGCUUGCAGGGUACUCGAGUGGCGAACGGGUGAGUAACACGUGGGUGAUCUGCCCUGCACUUCGGGAUAAGCCUGGGAAACUGGGUCUAAUACCGGAUAGGAGCCAUUUUUAGUGUGAUGGUUGGAAAGUUUUUUCGGUGUAGGAUGAGCUCGCGGCCUAUCAGCUUGUUGGUGGGGUAAUGGCCUACCAAGGCGGCGACGGGUAGCCGGCCUGAGAGGGUGGACGGCCACAGUGGGACUGAGAUACGGCCCAGACUCCUACGGGAGGCAGCAGUGGGGAAUAUUGCACAAUGGGCGCAAGCCUGAUGCAGCGACGCCGCGGGGGGGAGGACGGCCUUCGGGUUGUAAACGCCUUUCGCUAGGGACGAAGCUUUUUGUGACGGUACCUAGAGAAAAAGCACCGGCUAACUACGUG
RNAcentral lists this ribosomal RNA (465 nucleotides) under uncultured bacterium. RNAcentral describes it as "partial 16S ribosomal RNA". It matches the Rfam family "Bacterial small subunit ribosomal RNA", at positions 28 to 507 of the family's 1533-position model. The record is from RNAcentral.